UACGGGGGGGGUAAGCGUUGUUCGGAAUUACUGGGCGUAAAGGGCUCGUAGGUGGCCAACUAAGUCAGACGUGAAAUCCCUCAGCUUAACUGGGGAACUGCGUCUGAUACUGGAUGGCUUGGAUUCGGGAGAGGAAUGCGGAAUUCCAGGUGUAGCGGUGAAAUGCGUAGAUAUCUGGAGGAACACCGGUGGCGAAGGCGGCAUUCUGGACCGAUAUUGACGCUGAGGAGCGAAAGCCAGGGGAGCAAACGGG
RNAcentral lists this ribosomal RNA (253 nucleotides) under uncultured bacterium. RNAcentral's name for it is "partial 16S ribosomal RNA". It matches the Rfam family "Bacterial small subunit ribosomal RNA", at positions 524 to 776 of the family's 1533-position model. The record is from RNAcentral.